Molecule: ribosomal RNA, 377 nt
Filed under: uncultured eukaryote
Lineage: Eukaryota
Description: partial 18S ribosomal RNA
Rfam family: Eukaryotic small subunit ribosomal RNA
Source: RNAcentral
CAAUAGCGUAUAUUAAAGUUGUUGCAGUUAAAAAGCUCGUAGUUGGAUUUCGGGGCAGCCUGGCCGGUCCGCCGCAAGGCGAGUACUGGUCAGCCGCCCUUCCUCUCGAAAGCCCCGACUGCUCUUCGUUGCAGUGGUCGGGUAGUUCGGGACGUUUACUUUGAAAAAAUUAGAGUGUUCAAGGCAGGCCUACGCCUGAAUACAUUAGCAUGGAAUAAUGGAAGAGGACCUCGGUCCUAUUUUGUUGGUUUCCAGGGCCGAAGUAAUGAUUAAGAGGGACAGUUGGGGGCAUUCGUAUUUAAUUGUCAGAGGUGAAAUUCUCGGAUUUAUGAAAGACGAACAACUGCGAAAGCAUUUGCCAAGGAUGUUUUCAUUAA